GCGCGGUGCCGGGAAGCGCCGCCGCGCGGGCCCGCUCACAGGCGGAGCCGAGCCCUCGGCCGCGGGCCCUGCAGUCCUCUCGGCGCGUCACGCGACAAAGUUGUCUCCAGGCUCCCGCGGCGCCGCAUCCACUGUAGAACGGGCCGCGGCGCGCUUCCCCCGGCCUCCGCACCGCCUCGCUCGCUCCCUCCGCCUGCGUGCCUGCCCGGGCUGGCGGGACGCGGAGCCCUCCUCGUCCCUGUCUUCUGCCUGGCUCGGCGGCGGCGAGGUCCACUCGAGCCCCCAAAAGUCUCUGGCUCCCGCGGGAUUGGUGCCCUCGCUGGCGCUCACACUGGCACAAGCCGCAAGGCCGAGGGAGAGCGGGCGGGUGGCGGUGGCGUCUCUGCGCCCCGCCGCGCGCGGAGAGCAGAGCACGCCGAGAAGGAGUUCUUCGCUUUGCCCUCUCUUUUACACUCCGGGUUUUUUAUCCCGAGGGGUAAAAAAGCCGCACAGUCUCCAUAUGUGCGCGCGCGUGGAGAUAGACGUCGGCAGAAAGGGGGCGGAGGAGUGUCGUCCUGGCCGUGCGGGAGGAGACGGUCCGCGCCUCCCCACUCGGGCUUCCCCGGGGCGGAGGGGAAGGCGGAAUCUGUUCAGGCCACUUUUGCUGCCUCGAAACUUUCCCACCACGUGGGUGCCCAGACCCUCGCCCGGCUGUGCAGCGGGCCACACCGACAGACUCCAGACGCGGGAUUGGGCGCUCGCCCUCGCCGCCGUCCCUCCCCAUCCCCGACCAGGGGCUCGGUGACACCUAUGUCAGACUGGCUGGAGCUCCAAACGAAGUGACUGGGCAAGCUCCUCACAGAACCCAAGAAAGAAUGGUUCCAGACUCCGUGCUCCGGCCACUAGACAAGAAACGCUGUCAAUGGAAAUCUGACUCCUAGCCCUGUCCAGAACCCCGAGUGCAAUAGUUCCUUCCCAUCGUCCUCAGGUGCCCACCUGGGUCUGAAACAGCAGGACAGAGCUCACAGGGUACAAUGCCCUGGGUCAGGAACACAGCCUCUCCACCUCUUUUCACUAACCUGGGCCUCACUCGGGAACAGGCGAGACUUCGAGGGACAAGUAGGGUGGGAGGCCCUUCUGGCUUUCCUCAGACACUGAAGGACGACCAAUGCUGAGGGAGUCCCCCUCCCCCAAAGGAGAAACUUUCAGGCCAGCUUUUCUUACGGAGUUGGGCCAGGACCACAGCCCCACAAGUCUGGAGGCGGAGCGCCCCCUCCCUCCCAAUCCGAGGAACCGACCCAAAGUCCGCCGGGCAAAACUAGGGCCGGUCUGAGUUUCCCUACGCUUAGCAGCCCUUCUGCCCUCUUAAGACAUUCGAGUCCCGUUCUCUGCUGCCCCCGUCUGGCUUCCGCCACCUGCCCUCUGCUGGAGCCCAUGGUUCCUGGGCAGGAGGGGGAUGCUCAAAGUCGGGCUGGGCCCACUAUGCUGUUUGCAUAG
Molecule: long non-coding RNA, 1476 nt
Filed under: Heterocephalus glaber (naked mole-rat)
Lineage: Eukaryota; Metazoa; Chordata; Mammalia; Rodentia; Bathyergidae
Description: lncRNA (ENSHGLG00100041672.1)
Source: RNAcentral